RNAcentral lists this ribosomal RNA (906 nucleotides) under uncultured bacterium. RNAcentral describes it as "bacterial SSU rRNA". It matches the Rfam family "Bacterial small subunit ribosomal RNA", at positions 12 to 916 of the family's 1533-position model. The record is from RNAcentral.
UUUGAUUAUGGCUCAGGAUGAACGCUGGCGGCGUGCCUAAUACAUGCAAGUCGAACGAAUCUCUUUUAGAGAUGAGUGGCGAACGGGUGAGUAAUACAUAGGUAACCUGCCCCUGUGCGGGGGAUAACAGGAGGAAACUCCUGCUAAUACCGCAUAGCCAUGAGCACCGCAUGGAGCUCAUGCCAAAUAUCCUUUAUGGGAUAGCGCAGGGAUGGACCUAUGGCGCAUUAGCUGGUUGGCGGGGCAACGGCCCACCAAGGCAACGAUGCGUAGCCGGCCUGAGAGGGCGGACGGCCACAUUGGGACUGAGACACGGCCCAGACUCCUACGGGAGGCAGCAGUAGGGAAUUUUCGGCAAUGGGGGAAACCCUGACCGAGCAACGCCGCGUGAGCGAAGAAGGCCUUCGGGUCGUAAAGCUCUGUUGUAAAGGAAGAACGGCGCAUACAGGAAAUGGUAUGCGAGUGACGGUACUUUACCAGAAAGCCACGGCUAACUACGUGCCAGCAGCCGCGGUAAUACGUAGGUGGCGAGCGUUAUCCGGAAUCAUUGGGCGUAAAGAGGGAGCAGGCGGCCGCAAGGGUCUGUGGUGAAAGCCCGAAGCUAAACUUCGGUAAGCCAUGGAAACCGGGCGGCUAGAGUGCGGAAGAGGAUCGUGGAAUUCCAUGUGUAGCGGUGAAAUGCGUAGAUAUAUGGAGGAACACCAGUGGCGAAGGCGACGGUCUGGGCCGCAACUGACGCUCAUUCCCGAAAGCGUGGGGAGCAAAUAGGAUUAGAUACCCUAGUAGUCCACGCCGUAAACGAUGGUCACUAAGUGUCGGGGGUCAAACCCCGGUGCUGCAGUCAACGCAAUAAGUGACCCGCCUGAGUAGUACGUUCGCAAGAAUGCAACUCAAAUGAAUUGACGG